UCCCCAGACUCCUACGGGAGGCAGCAGUGGGGGAUAUUGCACAAUGGGGGGAACCCUGAUGCAGCGACGCCGCGUGGGUGAAGGAGUAUUUCGGUAUGUAAAGCCCUAUCGGCAGGGAAGAAGGAGGACGGUACCUGACUAAGAAGCCCCGGCUAACUACGUGCCAGCAGCCGCGGUAAUACGUAGGGGGCAAGCGUUAUCCGGAUUUACUGGGUGUAAAGGGGGCGCAGACGGCAGCGCAAGCCAGGAGUGAAAGCCCGGGGCCCAACCCCGGGACUGCUUUUGGAACUACAUGGCUUGAUUGCAGGAGAGGCAAGUGGAAUUCCUAGUGUAGCGGUGAAAUGCGUAGAUAUUAGGAGGAACACCAGUGGCGAAGGCGGCUUGCUGGACUGUAAAUGACGCUGAGGCUCGAAAGCGUGGGGAGCAAACAGGAUUAGAUACCCCGGUAA
Molecule: ribosomal RNA, 449 nt
Filed under: uncultured bacterium
Lineage: Bacteria
Description: partial 16S ribosomal RNA
Rfam family: Bacterial small subunit ribosomal RNA
Source: RNAcentral